AAGGCUCAAUAGACCUUUUCUGGUCAACACCCCCAACCCAAGAAGAAGCUUCCAUAGCAUUCUUUUUGUGCCGUGGCGACCCCAUUUAUUCUCCUCCAUUUUCCUUUCUCUCCAAGCACCACUCCUUCUCAUUUCCUCUAAACGUAAGGACCAUAAUCCCUCCAAGUUCGAGAAAUGUUGCGCUACCAUAUACUUGAUUCAACCCCCACUUUCCAAGACUCCCUCAAGGCACUCGAGGCUGACAUUCAACAUGCCAAUCUGCUGGCUGCUUCUAUUUCAAGGGGCAAUGGAAGUGCUUGCCUUCAAAUGAAGUUAGUUUACAACAAAUUGGCACCCGUUUUUCUGUUUUUAUAUCAAUGGAUGGAUUUCUCAUGUUCAUGUCUACUUCCAAGCCACUUCAAUCUUUUCCGCGUAAUUGUGUAUAAGAUUCACACCAAUGGGAAGCCAAAUACAUAUUCUUAUGGAAGGAAAGCAACCAUAAGGGAGUUCUAUGGUGUUAUAUUACCUUCUCUUCAGCGUCUUCACGAUGAUUUAGUAGAUACUAACAUCAUGAAAGAAAAAGAUCGCAGCAUCGAGGUGGUUAUCGAUAGGAGUGCGGAUGAUAGGAGGAAGCCUUUUGAUUUGGACUCAGACAGAGAAAAUGAGUGUGGUAUCUGCUUAGAGUCUUGCACAAAAAUGGUCUUACCUAAUUGCUGCCAUGCUAUGUGUAAAAAUUGUUACAGUGACUGGAACACAAGGUCAGAAUCUUGUCCGUUUUGCCGGGGAAGUUUAAAGAGAGUUAACUCAGGUGAUUUGUGGGUUCUAACAAGCAGUAGUGAUGUGAUUGAUGCACAAACCGCGUACAGAGAAGAUAUUCUGUGCCUCUAUCUCUUUGUAAAUAACCUGCCAGAACAUAUUCCUGAUGCUCUUUUCUUUAUGUAUUAUGAGUACUUAUUUUAAUUGAAGAAUAUGUACAGGAGAGAAAAAUGACAGCCAACAGUGUACAGAAUCCUGUCAAUUUUCUUGAUUAUUUGUUUGUAUAUUACUCAGUGAUAACACUCUUGCAUAUAAUAUAUCACUUAUAGUGUUUAUCAAGAUAUCAUUAGAAAAUGAGGUGACUGUUUGCUUUUAACAGAAAUGUCAUAUGUAUAAACAACUUCCAUCCUUGCAUAGUCUUGGAGAGAAUGGAGAAAAUCCUCAUUACCCUAUACAUAUGUUAGGCUUCUAAAUUAUAGACUUAUAGUCAUAAUAUUAUUAGUGGCAUGGGCGUUUGGGUCUGGGUUGGAUGUUGUCAUUGGGUUCGGGUUUGGUUUUAUCUAUCUGUGUUAGUGUUAGUCCUGUUUGGCCGAGUCUGUUUUAUCAUUUGAGUUGUGCCUGUUUUGGGCCAGAGUUAAUUGAUUAGUAGGUUUAGAUUAGUAUAUUUAAGAGUACUCUCAUUGUUAACAAAAAAAAAAGCACUCUCAUUAUUAGCAUUUGAGUAUUGAGUUGUAAAAGGGUUUUACCCUUGGAAUGGAUUUUCCCUUGGAAGAAGGUUCGCCUUCUUGGGUUCGUUUUCAAUAAAUUCUAGUGUUAUUUUAGAAUUACUAUUUUCCCCUAUCCUUACUGUGUUUGGCUGUGAGGUUAUUUUCUAACCUAACAACAUGCAACACUACUCCUCAUCUUUACCUCUAUGUCUAUCAUAUCAACCAUUGGAUUAAUAUCCUUUCGUGCUAGCUCUCUCAUGUUGAAAUUUUGUGUCUAUCUCUCUCUUCAUACCUAUUCAAUAGGUUAGACCCUUUAAAUAUAUAUAUGAAAGGAUAUCCUAUAUGAAGAGAGAAAUAAACACAAUUUUUUCUUGACAUUGCCAUGUGAUAUAUAUAUGCUCAUCUCUUCAUAUGUAUCACCUAUUGUGCUAGGAUAAUUUCUCAUAAUAAAGCAAGACAAUACACAUUUUAUCUUAUCUAAUUAUAUGAUGACGGUGGCGUGGCACCAACGAUGUAAGCUUUCCUGCAUGUACCCACCCAUUGCCAUUUGGGAUAGGUAGUUGUGACUUUUGAUGCUUAAGCUAUUACUUACAAUUGCUUGUUGAAAAACACAUGCCAUGUCUGAAGUAUUGAAUCAUGAGAUGUUACUGUAUCAGAGUGCGGUAUUUAAAUCAUCGCACUUAUUGCUUUAUUAAGUAUGAUUGACACUUAACAAGAAUGGCCGCACCUGUUUUGGCAACUGGCAGUUUAUCUUCAUAAUGAGAGUGAAGAAGAGGGAGGAUGUACCCAUUUAUUAGGACCACUGGCUCAGACUAGCAUUGAAUGUUUUCCAGUUUCUUUAUUGACUGCAAAAACCAAGCAGACUGGGGACGAAAUAAAAUGGAAUUCUGGAGUACUAAGUAUGGCAUGAAUUCAAUAGGUAGUUCUAGAUGCUUCAUUGCUUAAUUCCUCUCUUCAGAUCCACCUUCCAAGAGGCAGAAGCAGAUCCUCUGUCCCCUUUCCAUGACUCAUUUUUCUGACCCAUCAAUGAGAGCUUGCCAUAAAAGAUGGGGUGGUUACAAAUUUACAUGUGUAUCCUUUUUGCUAAUAUAUUAAAAUUUCAUUAUUGUGACAGACAAAUGAGACAUAAUUUGGGGAUAAGAGAUUUUAAUCCCAAAAAGCUAACUUAAUUAGGAUGAAGUCAGGCGACCAAGUCUAUCUUAUGGUAUGAGACUAUCCCUCAUUGUUGUAGCAUGAGAGGAGACAUGAAUAUAUAUUUUUUAUACACCGAAUCUUUCACCCAGAAUCCUAAGACAUUAGGUCAUGUCACAUUGUUGUUCAACACUUACUUUUUCAUCCAAUGUGUGAUGACUUCUUUAUAUACUUUUUUAAUUUCUUACUCACUUAAAGUCUCAAGUGCGUAGCUGUAUACACGGCGGAAAAUAAUAGUGAGGUUAAAAUUAUGGGAGACAGUCACAACAACUAACAACUAAGACCCUUUACAAUGGUUUGUUUAAUUUACUUACUUUCAACACCAUUUUUUCUCUUCCCAACACUCCACAUCAACUUCUCUCUCCAAUUCAACACUCAUUCAACUUUUACCCACUCCAAUGGUUUUUCAUUCAAC
RNA transcript from Lotus japonicus, 3048 nucleotides. It is a transcript of the gene named E3 ubiquitin-protein ligase AIRP2-like, with no coding region annotated. The transcript is spliced from 6 exons. Lineage: Eukaryota; Viridiplantae; Streptophyta; Magnoliopsida; Fabales; Fabaceae. The record is from RefSeq and is a predicted model, not a curated record.